UGGGGAAUUUUGCACAAUGGGGGAAACCCUGAUGCAGCGACGCCGCGUGAUUUAGAAGGCCUUCGGGUUGUAAAAAUCUUUUCUAUGGGAAGAAAAUGACAGUACCAUAGGAAUAAGGACCGGCUAAUUACGUGCCAGCAGCCGCGGUAAUACGUAAGGUCCGAGCGUUGUUCGGAAUCAUUGGGCGUAAAGGGUACGUAGGCGGGUAAGCAAGUUAGAAGUGAAAUCCUAUAGCUCAACUAUAGUAAGCUUUUAAAACUGCUCAUCUUGAGGUAUGGAAGGGAAAGUGGAAUUCCUAGUGUAGCGGUGAAAUGCGCAGAUAUUAGGAGGAAUACCGGUGGCGAAGGCGACUUUCUGGCCAUAACCUGACGCUGAGGUACGAAAGCGUGGGUAGCAAACAGG
This 402-nucleotide ribosomal RNA is filed under the name bacterium. RNAcentral's name for it is "partial 16S ribosomal RNA". It matches the Rfam family "Bacterial small subunit ribosomal RNA", at positions 355 to 776 of the family's 1533-position model. The record is from RNAcentral. RNAcentral also lists the same sequence under 1 other name.